Molecule: ribosomal RNA, 486 nt
Filed under: uncultured bacterium
Lineage: Bacteria
Description: partial 16S ribosomal RNA
Rfam family: Bacterial small subunit ribosomal RNA
Source: RNAcentral
AUUGAACGCUGGCGGCAUGCCUUACACAUGCAAGUCGAACGGCAGCACGGGUGCUUGCCCCUGGUGGCGAGUGGCGAACGGGUGAGUAAUACAUCGGAACAUGUCCUGUAGUGGGGGAUAGCCCGGCGAAAGCCGGAUUAAUACCGCAUACGAUCUACGGAUGAAAGCGGGGGACCUUCGGGCCUCGCGCUAUAGGGUUGGCCGAUGGCUGAUGAGCUAGUUGGUGGGGUAAAGGCCUACCAAGGCGACGAUCAGUAGCUGGUCUGAGAGGAGGAGCAGCCACACUGGAACUGAGACACGGCCCGGACUCCUACGGGAGGCAGCAGUGGGGAAUUUUGGACAAUGGGCGAAAGCCUGAUCCAGCCAUGCCGCGUGUGUGAAGAAGGUCUUCGGAUUGUAAAGCACUGUAAGUGGGGAGGAAGGGCAGUAAGUUAAUACCUUGCUGUUGUGACGUUACCAACAGAAUAAGCACCGGCUAACUUCGUG